CCUACGGGAGGCAGCAGUGGGGAAUAUUGCACAAUGGGGGAAACCCUGAUGCAGCGACGCCGCGUGAGUGAAGAAGUAUUUCGGUACGUAAAGCUCUAUCAGCAGGGAAGAAAAUGACGGUACCUGACUAAGAAGCCCCGGCUAACUACGUGCCAGCAGCCGCGGUAAUACGUAGGGGGCAAGCGUUAUCCGGAUUUACUGGGUGUAAAGGGAGCGUAGACGGCAGCGCAAGUCUGGAGUGAAAUCCCAUGGCUUAACCAUGGAACUGCUUUGGAAACUGUGCAGCUAGAGUGCAGGAGAGGUAAGCGGAAUUCCUAGUGUAGCGGUGAAAUGCGUAGAUAUUAGGAGGAACACCAGUGGCGAAGGCGGCAUACUGGACUGUAACUGACGUUGAGGCUCGAAAGCGUGGGGAGCAAACAGGAUUAGAUACCCGAGUAGUC
Molecule: ribosomal RNA, 440 nt
Filed under: uncultured bacterium
Lineage: Bacteria
Description: partial 16S ribosomal RNA
Rfam family: Bacterial small subunit ribosomal RNA
Source: RNAcentral